UAACCACGACAACUCCUGAUCGGGCGGGACAGCGGAUUGGUUCGGGGCGGCAGCUGCAGACUCUAAAAGGAAGGACCUGUGGAGACGGAACGGACUUCUCCACUGAACUUAAAGAAGAUGCGGUCAUCCACUGGGGAGUGAAAAACUUAAACUAAGAGGACUUUGCAGAUAAUACCUUUGAUGAUGUACUUGUGAUCCCCGGACAGCCAUGCACAUAGGAAUGAGGACUUCCAUACAACGUGGAACUGGGAUUUGUGCACGCCUGCACGCAGCUCUGGGUGUGAAACAAGGACAUCAAGAACUGGAUGACGAAUAGCAGGAACACAAGAGAUUUUCCUGGGAAUGCAUCCAAGAAGUGCUAGUGGAGGCUUUAUAGUUGAUCAGUUUGUCAAAAGGAGUACUUUUUCCAGCAUGCAACAUUAUUCACUUAAUUUUUCAUUAG
Long non-coding RNA from Grus americana (Whooping crane), 442 nucleotides. RefSeq lists it as uncharacterized. The transcript has 4 exons. The record is from RefSeq and is a predicted model, not a curated record. NCBI's taxonomy places the organism in Eukaryota, Metazoa, Chordata, Aves, Gruiformes, Gruidae.